GCAAUUCACAACCCAAACAAACCCCAGGCAACUAAUUAUGUCAGGUUGACUCUGUCAGCUUAUCGUGGAGGAAAAACAGAGGAGAAAAUGUUGACCGCGGAGGCUGACAUCUUUGGAGUGUAACUCCAGACAAUAUGAUGGAGCCCCGGUGCUGUCUGUUGUGGCCUGGUUGUGGAUCCUGUCUACUACGGUGCACAAGUCCAGAGAGGUUUGAGGAAACUCGGUCAUAUAUUCUAUGGAGGCGGCCCACAGAGUAAUUCAUAAACCAACUCUGAGGAGCUUGUUAAAGAGUCCUGGUACAAAAGCCUGGAAGGGAGAAGAUACUUGAAGAAUACGCAAUUAAAGGAAAGAUGAAGGACCGAACAUGCCGUGAUCUCGUCAACAGUGGUUCGCUGUUAUGGUGGAAUAAUAUGGCUCUGCUCGGAGAUCUCACCUCAGGGCUGGAAACUGAGACAAGGAAACAUGCACAGCAAGGGAGCCUGCUCAGCGAGCCAGACUUCCAGAGAAUCCUACUGUAUGGAUACAGGAAGCUGGACAGACUAAGAAGGCUGCUCUGCAGAGACUAUGCCACGUUCACACCACAUCUCAGCAGUCAGUGACUGGCAUCGCUGUCUGAAAUGAUGCCAGGCUUUUGUUUCCCCCCUGUAAUUACCCCAAUGUUGUUAAUGAAGAAAAACAGGAAAAGCAUUAUCCCAGCAGGAGGUCUCUUCUGCUUUGAACACCCCAUCCCUUUUCUAAACAUCAAUUUAAGUUACACAGCUGAUAAAGACUUUUUCACCUACAACAACACUUUCAAAGUGAUCACUCUAUCUGAUAAACAUCAGAUUUGGGUGGCGUAGAUGUUCGAAAACAUCUCAUCCCCAACUCUUUGAAUAAUAUGUGCACUUUGUGUGCUCUAUCAAAUCUAAAUGCAUAUAUUUACACUUAAACCAAAACCACUCAACUUUCCAUGUUUGCCCAAAGCAAUAAAAUUGCAUUCUGUAUUAAAGCCAUACAACCAACAUCUUGUCAGAACCGUCCCAUAUUCAAAAUCUUGGCCACAGUUGAAUUAUGCAGUCAUGCUUCCUUUCCUGUUGAAGCAGGCCAGGACAAAUUGAAAUUAUGAGCAGGCAGUGGAAGAAAGCAGAGAGGUUUCCAUAGCACAUCAGGCUAAUCAGAGGGGAUAAAGUCAUGAGGAAAAUGUGUUUGUUUGUGCGAACAAAUCCUGUAUGCAAAUCAAAAAUGUAGCAUUGAGGUGCAAUUACAGUCAUGAUUUUGCAUAGGCAUAAAUUCAAAAACCUGUUACUGAGAAUCAUAGUUUUAGAGGAGAGGUGCUGUGCUGCUCCGUCUAGUCAGUCUGUGCUGGCAGCAUCCUCUUUUCUCACCGUAAUGUUCUCAGCUCCAAUUUUGUUUGAAAUAGACUGAGACAAGUCUAUCUAGCAAUGUCUGAAUUUGAACUGCACCAUUCACUCUAACUGAAGAAAGAAAAAAGUGAGUGUGCUACAGAUUCUUCAAAGCAUUGUUCCAUUAAACUGAGAGCAAAGGAGGAACAUGAUGCUGUUACAUUUUACUAGUCUUAAAGCCAUUUACAGUGAGGAAAUAUAAGGUUUCUCACCCUAAUUGCUGAUAAAAAUUUACAUCAAUUGGAAAAAGUGAACACGCACCAAAGAAAGACAGAUUAACACGUCAAAUUUCUUAUUUCACCUCAUUCCAGCUGCGGUACUUCAUAAAUGGACCAUUUCCUUGCCAACAAAGUUUUCUGAGAAACACCAGACACGGAUGUUGUUGUCAUCUACUCCCCAUUUCUAUUUGGGACUACACAAACCAACUGGCCAUUAUCAGACGUCUCUAUGAAAUCAUAUGCUGCUGGGAUUCUUGAUGUGCCCCUUGGGGCAAAUGUCGUACCACUUAUUACACAGCACGUAACCCAAAAAGGCUCUUGGUGAUCCGCAAUGAUCCGUGGCGUCAUGGCUGCCAGUGACAGUCAAACUGAGCUCACAUAAGACCACACAAACACAAACACAAAGGGAUCUAUUUAAACCAGCACGGGGAUGCCAAGCUCACAGUGAAAGCAGAUGGAUACUGUUAUAUCAAAUUGGAAACGAUUACAGCACCACCUCAUAAAGAACAAUGUCAAAAACAUGCCGUUCACAUAUAUAAUUACAAAAAAUGUCAGGUUUUAGAGUAUUGAUUUUUCCCUUACCCCAGUCAGACAAACACAAUGCCUUGUGAUGUCUUUGGGUGCAGUUUAAAUACCAGUUUAAUUAUGAAAUUAGUGCAACCUAUUGACAAGUUGCUGUUGAUUUGUGUUAACUUUAUUGACUCGACGACAGGAGUGAUUAACUGAGCUGUUGACACAAGCAUGUGAGCAGAAUGUUCAUUGAAAACUGAAUGGGAGCAAAUUCCAGUCCUUUGUUUUGAUACAAAAAGUACCAAAAUAAGUCUUGACCCGUCCCUGCCAGAUUUUUCAGCCCAAGAAGACAAAGAAGUGUGAUUUUAAAGACCACAACAGACAUUCCUGUUGAAUUUCUGUAGGAUCUAGUUUCCUGAUAUUUUGCACAUUAAUGAUUAUGGAAUAUAAUCAUUAUUUAAAAGGCAUCUCCUAUCAGACUUCACCUAAAUUAAAAGUAUUAAUGUGUGUUUCCAGUUUCCACAAUGAAGUCUGAUUGAUUGUCACGUCAAAUCCUCCUCUCAUUUCCUUGCAUGCAAAAAGACAUGCAACAACAAAAAACAGAUCUAAGAGGAAGAGAAGAAAAGGGUAGCCACAAUGAAGCUUGCUUUUCAAAGCGGAUGAAAAAGCCAGUUGGGGUAUGAUAUGCAUGUAUACUUUUGUCUGACCUAAUUGAAAGCAGACACUUGUCUUCACUACAUCCAUCCCCAUCAUCAGUGUCUUAAGUAAUGUCGAUAUUUGAGCACUGAGGAGGUUAGACCCAUCAUGUGUUUAUCAUGAUCAGGAGUUGUGCAAGAGAACUGAAUUCAUGUCCAUGCCGUCAGAAAUCUGCCCACCUACAGCGAAUGCCAAAAGCUGCAAAGUUUAAGUUAAUAUUUUCACAAAGUCUCUAAAGUGUAUUUAAAGGCAUAUUGUAAAUUCUCAGUUGAUACUAACAUCCAGCUGGGCCAAAUGUGGGCUCUCCUGCUAAUUAAAUAUCGUAUCAGACACUUUGAUGGUGAGCGACGUUACUCGGAGGAGUGGUGAAUAACAGGGCUCGCUGCUGUCUUUAUGGGUCACUGUGGAGGUUAGGGGGGGAAUGUAGAGCGGGAGCAGAGGGCUGUCUGUCGCUCUGCCAGCCAAGCCACAGCUGGCCAGAUUACAAGAGUCUGGAUUAGAGGCCAGGGGUUGGGGCAGGGAUGUGGUUUCCAUUGAUGUAUAGAAACUCAAACACACAGGGCACACAUUAUUAAAGCAUCAGUGUCAACAUCGAGACACGCAAGAGCACGAAACUGCCAACGCAUUCACGUAGUGUUAAACUACAAUCCAACCCAUUUCUUUCAAGCAGCGAUUUAUUCUUUGAAUUUCGUUUUAUGUGGCCACUUUGUUGGGACAUCAUCCAUAGGCAUCACGUGUCCGUGGCCUGACAUCUACAUCUAUAAAAAAACAGGACAUUUUUGACUUUGCAUUGGCAAACCAUUGUCUCUAGAUAGAUAAUAGCUUCUCGUAAAGCAUAGGCAGCAUAAAUGGGAGGAUGAAAACAAUCUGCAGAGCACACUGAGCCUCUGGCAGGGAAUGACCUAACCAAAUCACGUCAUCCCAAAACUUAUAGCUGUUAUUCAAGAGCGGCUACAUACCAAAGCAGGGUAGAGAGAAAAAUGUAUGUAUACUGAUGUAUAGAAACACUCAAUCAAUACCGUCAUUCCAUUGGAAUUUGUCAUAUGAAGCUAGACAAAAAGAAGGAUACUUACGAAUAUGAUGCACAGAACACAAGUUGUAAAAAAUAAUAAUACAAAUUGUAAUAAACUGACUUCUUUCAUCCAGAACACAAAGACACCAAAAUAUUAGGGUAGGUUACUCUUGAUAUGUAACAUCUAGGCUCUGGCCUUAUUAUUUCCAGCACCAUAAUACGUGAAGCUCAAUAAUAUCAUAAUACAUUCAAGCAUAAUUAAAAGGCAAACACUAUUAUUAUCACAAGAACUCCCCAAAAAACAAGCCAUGAUAUUUAACACCGAGAGCACAAAGAGCCAAUUGGGCGACAGGAAUGAACCCUUCUAAACAACAUCAACGAUCAAAGGUAAAAUAUGCCAGAAAACCAAUGCUGCCUGUAUCACCCACAACACACGAUGUAAAUAUCUAUUAUACAGCAUAACAGUAUGAAAGCGGGCCAAUGCACCCAACAGACAACAACUGAAAAGAAACAAGGCUUCAAAGAAUCAAUCCACAGUCAAUACAAACACAAAUAUAUGCACAAGUAGAUGUGAGUUGAAAAAAAAAAAGCAACCAGAAACUGGGCAACAACAGUUGGCUAAUGAGCAAAGCUAGCUGAGCAACAACUUCAUCGUUUUUGCAACAGCAGUAGCACAAACA
This is a long non-coding RNA of Scophthalmus maximus (turbot), 4498 nucleotides long. RefSeq lists it as uncharacterized. The transcript is spliced from 3 exons. The record is from RefSeq and is a predicted model, not a curated record. NCBI's taxonomy places the organism in Eukaryota, Metazoa, Chordata, Actinopteri, Pleuronectiformes, Scophthalmidae.